AUUAUAGUCCUAAAUGCCCUAAAGGUACCAGAUCCCUCCCGAUCUUGAAACCUAAGCAGGGUCAACCUUAGUUUGUACUUGGCUGAGGAAUCUCCAAGGAAUAUCAGGUGCUUUAGGC
This 118-nucleotide ribosomal RNA is filed under the name Anolis carolinensis (green anole). Lineage: Eukaryota; Metazoa; Chordata; Lepidosauria; Squamata; Anolidae. The record is from RNAcentral.